UGAGGAAUAUUGGUCAAUGGCCGAAGGGCUGAACCAGCCAAGCCGCGUGAGGGAUGAAGGUGCUAAGCAUUGUAAACCUCUUUUGUCAGGGGAUAAAAUGACGUUUGCGAACGUCACUGAAGGUACCUGAAGAAAAAGCAUCGGCUAACUCCGUGCCAGCAGCCGCGGUAAUACGGAGGAUGCGAGCGUUAUCCGGAUUUAUUGGGUUUAAAGGGUGCGUAGGCGGCGAGUUAAGUCAGCGGUAAAAGCCCGGGGCUCAACCCCGGCGAGCCGUUGAAACUGGCUUGCUCGAGUUGGCGAGAGGUAUGCGGAAUGCGCGGUGUAGCGGUGAAAUGCUUAGAUAUCGCGCAGAACUCCGAUUGCGAAGGCAGCAUACUGGCGCCACACUGACGCUGAGGCACGAAAGCGUGGGGAUCGAACAGG
Molecule: ribosomal RNA, 423 nt
Filed under: uncultured bacterium
Lineage: Bacteria
Description: bacterial SSU rRNA
Rfam family: Bacterial small subunit ribosomal RNA
Source: RNAcentral